RNAcentral lists this ribosomal RNA (554 nucleotides) under uncultured archaeon. Its description in RNAcentral is "bacterial SSU rRNA". It matches the Rfam family "Archaeal small subunit ribosomal RNA", at positions 876 to 1429 of the family's 1478-position model. The record is from RNAcentral.
GCACCACAAGGGGUGAAGCCUGCGGUUCAAUUGGACUCAACGCCGGGAAACUUACCAGGGGAGACAGCAGUAUGACGGUCAGGUUGACGACCUUACCCGACGAGCUGAGAGGAGGUGCAUGGCCGUCGCCAGUUCGUGCCGUGAGGUAUCCUGUUAAGUCAGGCAACGAACGAGAUCCGCACCUUUAUUUGCCAACAAGAAGUCACGACUUCGUUGGGAACACUAAAGGGACCGCCGUCGAUAAGACGGAGGAAGGAGCGGGCAAAGGCAGGUCAGUAUGCCCCGAAACCCCUGGGCUACACGCGGGCUGCAAUGGUAUGAACAAUGGGCUGUGACUCCGAAAGGAGAAACCAAUCCCGAAAUCAUAUCUCAGUUGGAAUUGUCGGCUGUAACCCGCCGACAUGAACGUGGAAUCCCUAGUAAUCGUGUGUCAUCAUCGCACGGUGAAUACGUCUCUGCUCCUUGCACACACCGCCCGUCGCUCCAUCCGAGUGUGCUAAAAAUGAGGUUUGGUCAAUCUGGUCAUAUCGAGUUUCUAGUAUGCGAGGAGGGAG